GCCUGGGUGGCUCAGUUGUUAAGCAUCUGACUUUGGCUCAGGUCAUGAUUUCACGGUUCAUGAAUUCAUCAUGUGAGUUCGAGUCCCGCUUCAGGUA
This 97-nucleotide transfer RNA is filed under the name Felis catus (domestic cat). It matches the Rfam family "tRNA". Rfam says of the family: Transfer RNA (tRNA) molecules are approximately 80 nucleotides in length. Their secondary structure includes four short double-helical elements and three loops (D, anti-codon, and T loops). Further hydrogen bonds mediate the characteristic L-shaped molecular structure. tRNAs have two regions of fundamental functional importance: the anti-codon, which is responsible for specific mRNA codon recognition, and the 3' end, to which the tRNAs corresponding amino acid is attached (by aminoacyl-tRNA synthetases). tRNAs cope with the degeneracy of the genetic code in two manners: having more than one tRNA (with a specific anti-codon) for a particular amino acid; and 'wobble' base-pairing, i.e. permitting non-standard base-pairing at the 3rd anti-codon position. The record is from Rfam by way of RNAcentral. RNAcentral also lists the same sequence under 1 other name. Lineage: Eukaryota; Metazoa; Chordata; Mammalia; Carnivora; Felidae.